RNAcentral lists this ribosomal RNA (119 nucleotides) under Capsella rubella. The record is from RNAcentral. Lineage: Eukaryota; Viridiplantae; Streptophyta; Magnoliopsida; Brassicales; Brassicaceae.
GAAUGCGAUCAUACCAACACUAAUAUACCGAAUCCUAUCAGAAUUCUACUGUAAAACAUGUUUACGCGAAAAAAGUAUUAGGAUAGAUAACUUUUCGGGAAGUUCUCGUGUUGUAUAUU